UGGUAACAGCUAAGUUAGACUCCAUCAUUUUAUAUGUAUAGUUGGGAUUAUGUUUUCCAAUAUGCAUUACUUUGCAUUUACCAACAUUGAAUUUCAUCUGCCAUUUUAUUUCCCAGCCAUCCAAUCCUGUGAGAUCCCUUUCUAACACUUCACACUCUGCUUUGGACUUAACUUGUUCAAAAUGGACACCUGAUUUC
Chelonia mydas (Green sea turtle) is the source of this 197-nucleotide long non-coding RNA. RefSeq lists it as uncharacterized. NCBI's taxonomy places the organism in Eukaryota, Metazoa, Chordata, Testudines, Cheloniidae. The record is from RefSeq and is a predicted model, not a curated record. The transcript has 4 exons.